Molecule: ribosomal RNA, 585 nt
Filed under: uncultured bacterium
Lineage: Bacteria
Description: partial 16S ribosomal RNA
Rfam family: Bacterial small subunit ribosomal RNA
Source: RNAcentral
UGGGGAAUUUUGGACAAUGGGCGAAGGCCUGAUCCAGCAAUGCCGCGUGUGUGAAGAAGGCCUUCGGGUUGUAAAGCACUUUUGUCCGGAAAGAAAUCCUUGGCUCUAAUACAGUCGGGGGAUGACGGUACCGGAAGAAUAAGCACCGGCUAACUACGUGCCAGCAGCCGCGGUAAUACGUAGGGUGCAAGCGUUAAUCGGAAUUACUGGGCGUAAAGCGUGCGCAGGCGGUUUGCUAAGACCGAUGUGAAAUCCCCGGGCUCAACCUGGGAACUGCAUUGGUGACUGGCAGGCUAGAGUAUGGCAGAGGGGGGUAGAAUUCCACGUGUAGCAGUGAAAUGCGUAGAGAUGUGGAGGAAUACCGAUGGCGAAGGCAGCCCCCUGGGCCAAUACUGACGCUCAUGCACGAAAGCGUGGGGAGCAAACAGGAUUAGAUACCCUGGUAGUCCACGCCCUAAACGAUGUCAACUAGUUGUUGGGGAUUCAUUUCCUUAGUAACGUAGCUAACGCGUGAAGUUGACCGCCUGGGGAGUACGGUCGCAAGAUUAAAACUUAAAUGAAUUGACGGGGUCAUAGCUGUUUCCU